AUGGAUUCUGUGAGGAUGAACUAUCUGUUAAAGAGGAUGGUCUUAAGACUAUUUCAGAGGAUGGAGAUAUAAGAAAAUUAAGUAAUUUGGAUGCUAAAGCCUUGUCUGUUGAGAUGAAGUUUCUCCUUCACAUUGUGACCAAGUUAUUCUUUCCUAGAGCAGGUAGACAUGAUUUCAUUUCUAGGAGAGAUAUUUGUGUGAUGCAUCAUAUUGUGAGUGAGACACCUCUCAAUCUCC
RNAcentral lists this long non-coding RNA (237 nucleotides) under Elaeis guineensis (African oil palm). RNAcentral's name for it is "long non-coding RNA (EGUI_LNC020205)". Lineage: Eukaryota; Viridiplantae; Streptophyta; Magnoliopsida; Arecales; Arecaceae. The record is from RNAcentral.